GACGAACGCUGGCGGCGUGCCUAAUACAUGCAAGUCGAGCGGUGAGGGUCGGUACUUGUACCGAGUUGAUGAGGAGCGCACGGGUGAGUAACGCGUGGAGAAUCUGCCUGUGAGCGGGGGACAACAUGGGGAAACGAAUGCUAAUACCGCAUGAAAACUUUAAACACAAGGGGGAAGGGUGAAAGAUGCAGUUGCGUCACUGAAUGGUGAUCCCGCGGUGUAUUAGCGAGGUGGUGAGGUACAGGCUCAUCAAGGCGAUGAUGCAUAGCCGAAGGGAGAGGGUGGUUGGCCGCCUUGGGACUGAGACACGGCCCAUACGCCUACAGGAGGCAGCCGGAGGGAAACGUCGGGAAGGGGUGAAAGACUGAGCGAGAAACGCCGCGGGAGUGAAGAAGGGUGUCGGGUCGUAAAACUCGGUUGGUAGGGAAGAAAGCUGGUGAGAGUGGAAAGAUCAUCAAGUGACGGUAACUACUCAGAAAGGGACGGCUAACUACGUG
This 497-nucleotide ribosomal RNA is filed under the name uncultured bacterium. RNAcentral describes it as "partial 16S ribosomal RNA". It matches the Rfam family "Bacterial small subunit ribosomal RNA", at positions 28 to 507 of the family's 1533-position model. The record is from RNAcentral.